This 253-nucleotide ribosomal RNA is filed under the name uncultured bacterium. Its description in RNAcentral is "partial 16S ribosomal RNA". It matches the Rfam family "Bacterial small subunit ribosomal RNA", at positions 524 to 776 of the family's 1533-position model. The record is from RNAcentral.
UACAGAGGUGCCAAGCGUUAGGCGGAAUCACUGGGCUUAAAGGGCGCGUAGGCGGGCACGCAAGUCAGGGGUGAAAUACUCCAGCCCAACUGGAGAACAGCUUUUGAUACUGCGUGCCUCGAGGGGGGUAGGGGCAUGUGGAACUUCCGGUGGAGCGGUGAAAUGCGUAGAUAUCGGAAGGAACGCCGGUGGCGAAAGCGACGUGCUGGACCCUUUCUGACGCUGAGGCGCGAAAGCGUGGGUAGCAAACGGG